Molecule: non-coding RNA, 30 nt
Filed under: Homo sapiens (human)
Lineage: Eukaryota; Metazoa; Chordata; Mammalia; Primates; Hominidae
Source: RNAcentral
UGGGCAUAAGACAAUAUGAGGGGUGGUCUC